Molecule: unclassified non-coding RNA, 255 nt
Filed under: uncultured Venturiales
Lineage: Eukaryota; Fungi; Ascomycota; Dothideomycetes
Description: sequence contains 5.8S rRNA gene
Source: RNAcentral
GAACGCACAUUGCGCCUCCUGGUAUUCCGGGAGGCACGCCUGUCCGAGCGCCAUUACACCCCCCAAGCCUUGCUUGAUGUUGGGCCAUGACAUACCCGUCAGGCCCCAAACCUUUAGGCACCCCCUACUGGCCGCGAGCGUAGCAAGAAUUCAUUUUCCCUCGCUUCGCGUGUCCAAUAGGCGGGCCGCCCAUCGACCCACAAACUUUUACAAGGUUUGGCCUCGGAUCAGGCGGGGAUACCCGCUGAACUUAAG